This 468-nucleotide ribosomal RNA is filed under the name uncultured bacterium. Its description in RNAcentral is "partial 16S ribosomal RNA". It matches the Rfam family "Bacterial small subunit ribosomal RNA", at positions 28 to 507 of the family's 1533-position model. The record is from RNAcentral.
GACGAACGCUGGCGGCGUGCUUAACACAUGCAAGUCGAACGGAAAGACCCUGCUUUUGUGUGGUGCUCGAGUGGCGAACGGGUGAGUAACACGUGAGUAACCUGCCCUUUACUUUGGGAUAACUUCAGGAAACUGGGGCUAAUACCGGAUAGGAGCUCCUGCUGCAUGGUGGGGGUUGGAAAGUUUCGGCGGUUGGGGAUGGACUCGCGGCUUAUCAGCUUGUUGGUGGGGUAGUGGCUUACCAAGGCUUUGACGGGUAGCCGGCCUGAGAGGGUGACCGGCCACAUUGGGACUGAGAUACGGCCCAGACUCCUACGGGAGGCAGCAGUGGGGAAUAUUGCACAAUGGGCGGAAGCCUGAUGCAGCAACGCCGCGUGCGGGAUGACGGCCUUCGGGUUGUAAACCGCUUUCGCCUGUGACGAAGCGUGAGUGACGGUAAUGGGUAAAGAAGCACCGGCUAACUACGUG